CCUACGGGCGGCAGCAGUGGGGAAUAUUGCACAAUGGGGGAAACCCUGAUGCAGCGACGCCGCGUGAGGGAAGAAGUAUCUCGGGACGUAAAGCUCUAUUAGCAGGGAAGAAAAGGACGGUACGUGACUAAGAAGCCACGGCUAACUACGUGCCAGCAGCGGCGGUAAUACGUAGGGGGCCAGGGUAAUACGGAUUGACUGUGCGUAAAGGGGGCGUAGACGGCAGCAAAAGUCUGGAGUGAAAUCCCGGGGCUUAACCCCGGAACUGCUUUGGAAACUGUGCGGCUGGAGUGCGGGAAGGGUAAGCGGAAUUCCUGGUGUAGCGGUGAAAUGCGUAGAUAUUAGGAAGAACACCGGUGGCGAAGGCGGCUUACUGGACUGUAACUGACGUUGAGGCUCGAAAGCGUGGGGAGCAAACAGGAUUAGAUACCCCUGUAGUC
This 440-nucleotide ribosomal RNA is filed under the name uncultured bacterium. Its description in RNAcentral is "partial 16S ribosomal RNA". It matches the Rfam family "Bacterial small subunit ribosomal RNA", at positions 338 to 795 of the family's 1533-position model. The record is from RNAcentral.